RNAcentral lists this ribosomal RNA (492 nucleotides) under uncultured bacterium. RNAcentral describes it as "partial 16S ribosomal RNA". It matches the Rfam family "Bacterial small subunit ribosomal RNA", at positions 29 to 507 of the family's 1533-position model. The record is from RNAcentral.
AGUGAACGCUGGCGGUAGGCCUAACACAUGCAAGUCGAACGGCAGCACAGUAAGAGCUUGCUCUUACGGGUGGCGAGUGGCGGACGGGUGAGGAAUACAUCGGAAUCUACUUUUUCGUGGGGGAUAACGUAGGGAAACUUACGCUAAUACCGCAUACGACCUACGGGUGAAAGCAGGGGAUCUUCGGACCUUGCGCGAUUGAAUGAGCCGAUGUCGGAUUAGCUAGUUGGCGGGGUAAAGGCCCACCAAGGCGACGAUCCGUAGCUGGUCUGAGAGGAUGACAGCCAACAUUGGAACUGAGACACGGUCCAGACCCCUACGGGAGGCGGCAGUGGGGAAUAUUGCACAAGGGGCGAAAGCUUGACCCAGCAAUCCCGGGUGGGGGAAGAAGGCUUUCGGUUUUUAAAGCUUUUUUGUGGGAAAAAAAAAAAAGCGGUUUAAUCCCCCGCUGUCCUGAGGUUACCAAAAAAAAAAGCCCGGGCUAACUUGGUG